Small nuclear RNA from Vulpes vulpes (red fox), 107 nucleotides. The record is from Ensembl. Lineage: Eukaryota; Metazoa; Chordata; Mammalia; Carnivora; Canidae.
GUGCUCAUUUUAGCAGUACACAUACUAAAAUUGGAAUGAUAUAGAGAAGAUUAGUGUGGUCCCUGUGCAAGGAUGACAUGCAAAUUCAUGAAGAGUUCCAUAUUCUU